AAGGUUACAUAAUAAUUAGCUUAUUGAUUGUAAGAUCGUAUGAAUGGGUUGACGAGAGGAUAGCUGUUUCAGCUUUAUGUUGUAGAACUUAAUUUCUCAUUGAGAAAGAUGAGAUGUGUCCGGCAGGACGAGAAGACCCCGUGAAUCUUUUUACAUAAAAUCACGUUUUUUGUUCGUCGGGAUUUUAUGUUGGGCUGGGGCGGCUCUUGAAUAAUUAAACUUCUGUUGGUAUUUGAAGUUUUUAUGUGGAUUUAUUUGGUUGAUCUUUAGUAAAGAUUAUCAGAUUAAGUUACUCCGGGGAUAACAGCGUAAAUUGUUUUAGAGAGUUCUUAUCGGCGAAGGAGCUUGCGACCUCGAUGUUGGAUUAAGUUUUAUGUCGGGGGCAGUACCUCGUAUGUUUUUAGUCUGUUCGACUUUAGUAACUUACACGAUUUGAGUUCAGACCGGAUCUCACU
This 455-nucleotide ribosomal RNA is filed under the name Facetotecta sp. RNAcentral describes it as "partial large subunit ribosomal RNA". It matches the Rfam family "Archaeal large subunit ribosomal RNA", at positions 2030 to 2696 of the family's 2987-position model. The record is from RNAcentral. Lineage: Eukaryota; Metazoa; Arthropoda; Thecostraca.